CCCGCACAAGCGGUGGAGCAWGWGGUUUAAUUCGAUGCAACGCGAAGAACCUUACCUACUCUUGACAUCCASAGAACUUAGCAGAGAUGCUUUGGUGCCUUCGGGAACUSUGAGACAGGUGCUGCAUGGCUGUCGUCAGCUCGUGUUGUGAAAUGUUGGGUUAAGUCCCGCAACGAGCGCAACCCUUAUCCUUUGUUGCCAGCGGUCCGGCCGGGAACUCAAAGGAGACUGCCAGUGAUAAACUGGAGGAAGGKGGGGAUGACGUCAAGUCAUCAUGGCCCUUACGAGUAGGGCUACACACGUGCUACAAUGGCAUAUACAAAGAGAAGCGACCUCGCGAGAGCAAG
This 347-nucleotide ribosomal RNA is filed under the name Citrobacter sp. Its description in RNAcentral is "bacterial SSU rRNA". It matches the Rfam family "Bacterial small subunit ribosomal RNA", at positions 920 to 1267 of the family's 1533-position model. Lineage: Bacteria; Pseudomonadati; Pseudomonadota; Gammaproteobacteria; Enterobacterales; Enterobacteriaceae. The record is from RNAcentral.